GACUAUUUCUAAUUGUUUAGUUUAUAUUGCCGCACUUGCUGAUUUGUUUGUUAAUUUUAGUGAGGGAGGGGAUAUUUAUGAACUUGCAAUACAUGAAAUGAAAAAAAAGUUUAAAAAAUAUUUUUGGUGUAGCUGCUAUGUUAAAUUCAACUAUGAAAUUAGGAGGUCCUCACUUUUGGUAUUCUACUAUUUAUCGAUCUUCAGAUCUUUCAGAAGUAGAAAUUGCUACACUAGCUGAUGCGAAAGCAUCAAUUAAAGUUAAUGCUCAAACUGUUUAUAAUGCUUAUAAACAGGC
Molecule: long non-coding RNA, 295 nt
Filed under: Nicotiana benthamiana
Lineage: Eukaryota; Viridiplantae; Streptophyta; Magnoliopsida; Solanales; Solanaceae
Description: long non-coding RNA (NBEN_LNC029646)
Source: RNAcentral